Molecule: ribosomal RNA, 235 nt
Filed under: Acinetobacter baumannii
Lineage: Bacteria; Pseudomonadati; Pseudomonadota; Gammaproteobacteria; Moraxellales; Moraxellaceae
Description: partial 16S ribosomal RNA
Rfam family: Bacterial small subunit ribosomal RNA
Source: RNAcentral
AGCACAGAGAGCUUGCUCUCGGGUGACGAGCGGCGGACGGGUGAGUAAUGUCUGGGAAACUGCCUGAUGGAGGGGGAUAACUACUGGAAACGGUAGCUAAUACCGCAUAACGUCGCAAGACCAAAGUGGGGGACCUUCGGGCCUCAUGCCAUCAGAUGUGCCCAGAUGGGAUUAGCUAGUAGGUGGGGUAACGGCUCACCUAGGCGACGAUCCCUAGCUGGUCUGAGAGGAUGAC